GAUGAACGCUGGCGGCGUGCCUAAUACAUGCAAGUCGAGCGAACGGACGAGAAGCUUGCUUCUCUGAUGUUAGCGGCGGACGGGUGAGUAACACGUGGAUAACCUACCUAUAAGACUGGGAUAACUUCGGGAAACCGUAGCUAAUACCGGAUAAUAUUUUGAACCGCAUGGUUCAAAAGUGAAAGACGGUCUUGCUGUCACUUAUAGAUGGAUCCGCGCUGCAUUAGCUAGUUGGUAAGGUAACGGCUUACCAAGGCAACGAUGCAUAGCCGACCUGAGAGGGUGAUCGGCCACACUGGAACUGAGACACGGUCCAGACUCCUACGGGAGGCAGCAGUAGGGAAUCUUCCGCAAUGGGGGAAAGCCUGACGGAGCAAAGCCGCGUGAGUGAUGAAGGUCUUCGGAUCGUAAAACUCUGUUAUUAGGGAAGAACAUAUGUGUAAGUAACUGUGCACAUCUUGACGGUACCUAAUCAGAAAGCCACGGCUAACUACGUG
RNAcentral lists this ribosomal RNA (497 nucleotides) under uncultured bacterium. RNAcentral's name for it is "partial 16S ribosomal RNA". It matches the Rfam family "Bacterial small subunit ribosomal RNA", at positions 28 to 507 of the family's 1533-position model. The record is from RNAcentral.